CAACACAAACCCAACCAUAGAAGGAGAAAACCACCAGCAGAAAACAAGAGGAAUAUCAGCCAAAAGUUUUCCAGAGAAAAAACCCCAUUAGAAGCACAAAACAGAGAUCAGGAAAAUCGACUUUGAAACCCAGCAAAGGAGAUUCCGCGAACCUUCUCCAAACUUCAAAGUCUACUCACAUCUCAAACCCAAAGGAAGAAAGCAGAGCGGUCUAUCUCAGCCAAAUCUGCAACAGAGGAAGGAGCCUCCUCAACCCAAAAACAGGGAGAUACCCGAUGUCGUCCCUCCUUCGCUAAAGCAUGCGCCGCUCUAUUUAUUUCUCUGGAGACAAACUGGAAAGACACUUUCUCAAAAAACCUCUCAAGAGAACGAAUAUUCUGUGAAAUUGGGCUGAGAAUAGAUCUAUCCAUUUUGUUUGAUGUCAGUUUCUUAAUGACAGUAAGAGAGUCACCUUCCAGGAUGAGAUUUCUGAAACCCAUAUCUAGCAUAAAAUAAAGAGCCCAUUCACACACUCUCGCCUCAGCUACAAAAGCAUUUGCCACAUCCGCUAUCGGGUAUGUACAAGCACCUAAAAUCUGCCCUUUCUCAUCUCUAGCUAAAACUGCUGAAAUAGAAGUCUUAGAAUUUUCUAGGAACGAUGCGUCAAAAUUCAGUUUAAUAAAACCAGAAAUAGGAGGCUGCCAUAGAAGAGUCCUAUGCGUAACAGAUGGAGAACUGAAAACUUGACUAAAAUUUGAAACUUGGGCAAAGCUUUGAACAAGUCCCACAACUUCAUGUAAAGCGAAAUUAAGACCUUCAUUCACCAGUCUAUUCCUCCUGUGCCAAAGAACCCACAAGGAGAUAGAUAUAAGCUUCUUACUAUUCCCAUUACCUGCAAGAAAGAAACUAACAAAUUGUGAUCUUCCAUCUGAAGAGUCUAUUCUGGUGACCAGAGGGAGACAAAGAGCCGACCAAAGAUGGCGUAACACUCUACAGGACCAUAAUCGGUGGUGCAAGGUCUCUGGAGCCUCAUUGCACAAAGGGCAAGCAGAAUCAACUCGAAGUCUCCCUUUAACCAGAUUGGAAAGAUGGGGCACGUAGUCUUUUAGAGAAUGCCAAAGAUGAAUUUUGAUCUUUGCAGGGAUUUGAAGAUCCCAGAUAGAUGAAUAGAGCUUUUUGUCAAUAUCAGUUGUAACCAAAAUGUUUUCUGCAUGUUGAGGUUCUUUUGUAAUUAGCGCUCGGUACCCACUUUUCACCGAAUACUCCCCUGAAGGAUCAUGACGCCAGACAAGUGAGUCUGGUAAACAGCUUGAAGCAAGAGGAAUGUGGAAAAUACGUCGAGCCUGAAAGUCAUCACAGAAAUUUAGAAUUAGCUCCUUGUUCCAGGUACUAGAAUCCACAUUAAUCAACUGACUGACAGUAGACCAACGAAUAUCAAUAUUCGUAACCAACAGUCUACCAUUACCACGACCAGGAAGCCUGGGGUCGUUUCAGAUAUUCACUUUAGCACCAUUUCCAAUUUUCCACAGAAGCCCGUCAUCGAACAAAUCUCGAGCCCCACAAAUACUCCUCCAGGUAAGAGAAGGGUAAGAUCCAGUUUUUGCCGAAAGUAUAUCAGAAUAAGGAUAAUAGCGAGAUUUAAAAACUUUCAAAAGAAGGCAGUCAGGUUGAGUUAAAAGUCUCCAGACUUGUUUAGCUAAAAGAGCCUUAUUAAACAAGGAAAGAUCCCUAAAACCCAUACCACCAUAAGCUUUCGGUAAACAUAAUGCACUUCAUUUGCUCCAAAUAAUUCCUUUGGCAGUUUUACUAUUUGCCCACCAAAAUUUGUUUAAAAUGCCCUCCAGUUGAUAGCAAAUCGUUUUUGGCAAUGUAAAACAUUGCAUCACGUAAACUGGAAUUGCUUGAAGAACAGCCUUAAUGAAGACUUCUUUACCACCCAUCGAUAAAUACCGAAUCUUCCAGCCCUCAAUACGUCUUCGAAAUCUAUCCACAAAUUUAGCAAAAGCCCAUUUUUUCUUUCUUCCAAUCAUCAUAGGCAGGCCCAAAUAAUUUUCAGGAUUCGAAGCCAAUCUAACACCCAAAAUGCUAACAACUGAAUUCUUAACAUCCGUUUCAACACAAGCGCCGAAGAAAAUGAGCGACUUUUCCAAAUUAAUUUUUUGCCCCAAGACAGCCUCAUAUUCUCGAAGGAUGUUACGAACAGUGUAAGCUCCCUCAUCCGAGGCGUCUCCAAAAAUAAUACAAUCAUCUGCAAAUAACAAAUGAGUAAUUGAUAGCUUUCCUUUACCAAUCAAGGCACCCUUUAAGCAAUUCUUGGCUUUGGCCUCAUUCAAAAGACAAGAAAGACCUUCCGUACAGAUAAGGAAAAGGUAGGGGCUAAGAGGAUCACCUUGGCGCAGACCUCUAGACGGCACAAAACACUCACUUUUAGACUCGUUAUUCCCACUGUAUAUGUAACGGAGCAGACACAACGCAUAAUGAGAACAACCCAAUCUUGAUGAAAGCCCAAUUGAGUUAACAUUCCUGCCAAAAAAUCCCAUUCAACUUGAUCAUAAGCUUUGCUAAGAUCGAGUUUCAGAGCAAAAUUCCCUUUUUUGCCUUUCUUUUUCAUCUUCAAGGUGUGAAGAACCUCAUAGGCAAUUAAAGUAUUGUCUGAUAUUUGCCUUCCCGAAAUAAAAGCUCCUUGGGCUUCGUCAAUGCAGAAACCCAAAAAAGGGCUCAUGCGAUCCACAAUAACUUUUGCAAUGAUCUUAUAAAGGACAUUACAUAAGCUUAUGGGCCAGAAUUGGGCCAUGUUUUUUGGCUUGUCAACUUUGGGAAUAAGAACCAGGUGAGUUCUGUUAAUUUCUUCCAUUACAAUCCUCCCGUUUAAAACUUCCAAACAAAAAUGAGAAACAUCAUCACCAACAAUAUGCCAGUACCAUUGAUAAAACAGUACGGGAUAACCAUCAAUACCUGGGGCCUUCAAGGGAGACAUUGAUUUGACCGCACACCAAAUAUCUUCCUUCGUGAAAGGUUUAAGAAGGUUCUCAUUCAUCUCAUCUGAAAUCCUAUUCUCAACAAGAUCAAGCACCCUGUCAUUAGCUC
This 3066-nucleotide long non-coding RNA is filed under the name Gossypium barbadense (sea-island cotton). RNAcentral's name for it is "long non-coding RNA (GBAR_LNC003408)". The record is from RNAcentral. Lineage: Eukaryota; Viridiplantae; Streptophyta; Magnoliopsida; Malvales; Malvaceae.